UAGUCCUAGUGGCUAGGAUACCUGGCUUUCAUCCUGGAGGCCCGGGUUCAAUUCCCGG
This is a transfer RNA of Strigamia maritima, 58 nucleotides long. It matches the Rfam family "tRNA", at positions 8 to 63 of the family's 71-position model. From Rfam's summary of the family: Transfer RNA (tRNA) molecules are approximately 80 nucleotides in length. NCBI's taxonomy places the organism in Eukaryota, Metazoa, Arthropoda, Chilopoda, Geophilomorpha, Linotaeniidae. The record is from Rfam.